RNAcentral lists this long non-coding RNA (33382 nucleotides) under Vitis vinifera (wine grape). Its description in RNAcentral is "long non-coding RNA (VVIN_LNC007324)". The record is from RNAcentral. Lineage: Eukaryota; Viridiplantae; Streptophyta; Magnoliopsida; Vitales; Vitaceae.
UUGAUGUUUUCGUUAUCUCACUCCCAACCUCAGAGGUGCCGAGACUUGGACGGAUGCCAACGGUAUGACUCACCACCACCAACUGCUUUCAAAUUUCAAUAGCCAUUCACGGUCCCACCAAAACUUCAGACUGAUUCUAUCAAGGUGUCUUGUGUAUAAAUUGCUCAGACCCAAAUUUAAUCGGAUAGUCAUAUCCUACGUAGCAGAUUCAAGCUCUGUUACCUCCCUUGGUUUGUGGACCGUUGAUGGCAACCGCCUUCCCUCUCCUCGCAUGUACCGAAUUCUCAUUUGGAUGUAGGUAAUAAAGAGUAAUUUGGAAACUUUGAGUGGGAAAAUUUUCAGAUAAAUUACGAAAUUUAAUCAAAACCUUCAAUAUUAUAAAUAAUAUUUUUAUAUUUGAGGGAUAAAUUACGAAAUAUUUUUAUAUUUCAGAUGUAGGUAAUAAAUAAUAUUUUCAGAUAAAUAAUAUUUCUAUUAAUUAAAGGUUUUUUUUGAGGUGUGGAUGAAUGGUAGAUGGACGCAAAUGCAGCCAUGAAAGCCCUAUCCAAAAACCUCCAUUUCUUAGCCACAAAAGCGAGUCCCAUAGAUAGGAUCCAAUUUGUUUAUGAGACAGAUUUGGCCACUCAAUCCUUCGAUCCCUCCCUCUUCCAGACGUGGUGUCCCUUUCUUGCGCAAAUCCACACCAUGAUUUAUAUCUUAGGCCCAUUGGACCCUAGUGGGCCUCAUCAAAGGUUAUAGACAUACUGGGCUUUGUAACCCAUUCAUGGUUGGCAGUCCAUUUUUAUAAUCCAGACAGUUCCAAUUCGCAAAGUUUUGGUUUCGGGCUUGGCGGUAGCACAAAUUUAUGAAAGAGAAUUUUCUUUUCACUUUUUAGUAGAAGGAAAUGUUUAGAAUGAUAGAAUUUUCAUGUAACUAGAAAACUAAACCAAUCAAAAUUCAAGAUUUUUUUACCAAAUUAUCUUCUAAAUAUCAAAUGAGAUUUAAUAUUUAAAAACAAUAAAUUUUUUGAACCUUCUUUUUUUUUUUUAACAAAAAUAUCUUAUAAUAAAAUUUAUGCCUAAAAUCAGUCAUAUUAAGAUUGACAUAAUUUUAUCUUGACGCAAUAGUUCACUUAUUGUACAUUAUUUUUAUUUGGGGGUGAGAGGGGCAUUCCAUGAACAUGAGUUAGUGGCUGGCAAUUGGCAUCCAUGGUAUGUGCGUGUACCAGGGAAGCAAACACAACACAUGUACAAGUAAUAAUUGCGAGCUUGACAUAAAGCACAUCGGUGCAUAAUGUGUUUUCGAAGAUGAGUGAAGUCUUCGGAAAGAAGAAUCAUUGUACACGUGACAAAAUUAUACAGUUGAUCUGGAUUGAGUUUGAAGUUUAUUUUAAUAAGCGUUUUCUAAUAUUUAUAAUAUUUAAAAAUAUUUAUUAAAUGAAUUAUUUUUAAGCGGUUGAAAUAUUAAAAGUUUUUUUAAAAUCACCGUCAAACAAAUUUUUAGAAUUAUUUAAAAAUAAUUUUAAUUUUAAGGAGUGUAGAGCUAUUAUCGUGAUUUGAUUGUGUUUUAUGUACUUGUUUUAAAAAAUUUGUUUUCUAAGCUUAAAAAUAAUUUAGAUAAGUAAUUUUUAAAAAUAGACCCAUUUGAUUGUGUUUUUUAUACUUGUUUUUAAAAACUAUUUUUUUUAAAACUUAAAAAUAGUUUGGAUACAUUAUUUUUUUUAAAAAAAAUUAUUUUGAUUUUGUAAAAACAUUGUAAAUUAGAUAUAUAUGAAAUUAAUUAAAUCGAACUCAAAAUCUUAUUAAAAAGGAAAAUAAUUUUAUAAUUGUAAAUAAAUUUUAAAAAUAAAUAUUUUUUAGUAAAAUAUAAAUAACAAAAUCAUAAAUUAUAUAUUUUUAUUACAAAUAUAUUAUUUUAGUAUAUGUACUAAAAACAUGGAUAUAAAAAUUUUUCGUGAAAGAAUAAUUAUUAUUUUUUGUUAAAUUAUUUUUAAAAAUUAUUACAUUUGUUAGAAAUAUUACAUUUGGAUAUUUUUGGUAUGAUAUUGAGUUUUGGUCAUAUCCAAUUUUAUUUGUUUUUUAUUAUUAUUUUUAAUUUCUAUAAUUUUAAAAUAGAUUUUUGUUUUUAAAUAUUUAAUUAAAAAUAAUCAGUUCCACGUGGACUUUUGAAACAUAAGACUUGAAAUACAACCUUCCAUGGACAGAGUGAAUGGAAGAUUAAUAUAAACUCGCAAUAAAAAAAUGAGAUAAGGAUUCAAAUUCCAAAACAGAAAAAUAAAAACAAAUUUUGAAAAGCAAGGAAGCAAAAACAAAAGAGAAAGUGGAAGAAUUAGUUGGAAUUGUUAUAGACUAAUGGGUGUGAUUCUGGUACAACCAAACCUCCACCAUACCACCAGCACUUGUGGGGGCUGAGACUGCCUGUCCUCCCACCAAUAAUUUUGCAGGGGGAGAGCUAAAAAACAGAGAUGACUGCCAUUUCUGACAUAACAACAUUUGGCUCCACCCACAGGGUGUCCCCACUUCCAUCUCCUACUUAUCGUCUUCCCGGAUCUGACCUGACCCAUCCUUGGAUUCCUUUCAUCAGAUCAUCACAAGUCUUCAAACCAAAUGAUUGAAAAUCAACCAUCCUAAUUGGAGAUUUUGAAUCAUUGAAUGUGAUGAAUCAUAAAUCACCACAUGCCAUGUCCUCCAACCAUCAUCCCACAUCCACCCAUGAUAUCAUUUUCUUUGGACUUUAGGCUUUUAAUUUUUAAUUUUUAAUUUUUUCUUUCCUCAUCAGACGUACUGAAAGGGGCCUAACAUAAGUGCUAUAAUUAAUCUUCUUCAACAGCCAAGCGGUUUAAUCAAUUGGAAUGAUGGAGGGAGAGGAGGGUGUUUUACACCAAACCAAUAUUCUUACCAUCCUUGAUUAAAACUAGAAAAAGUCGAGCUUAUAUUAAAUUUUCAAUAAUUUAUCCACCAUCUCACCUAACAAAACUCAAGGUUAAUUAUAAUGCCAACCUUUUGCUUCAUCACAUCAAAAGAUUUGUAGCCUUUUGGCUGCAAAGUUUGGCAUAAACAAUUGUUCACAUUUAGUUCAUUAUACAAAAUAUUAAGGCUAAAUGCGUUGGGACUAAUCUUAUUCCGACAUAAUUUAUUUAAGUCUACCCUUUUAUCAUCAACGCCAUGAAUGUAAAAUAUCGAUUCGGGAUACAAUGAAAAGUGUGAUCAAUUAGAUCUUAUUAUGUGUACUUAAAGUUAACUUUUUUACCUUAAUCUUGAAUUUUUUGUUGAUCUCGUUUUUUUUUUUCUUUUUAUACAUUGAUUUAUUAUUUAUAUCUCGUUGAAUGAUUUAAAUUUUAUCAUAUAUUUUCAAGAUGAAAAGUUUGAUAGAUAUUUAUUUACUAGGUUAAACUUUUCCUAAAAUUUAUAAUAACUCUUUGAGAUUAUAAAUAAAAGUAAUGUUUUGAAAAAUAUUUGUUGUUUUAAAAACAAAAUUAAGGAAUAUAAAAUCUGUUUGAUGACUAUUUUAAAAAAUGGUUUUUGAAAACUGUUUUAUAAUGUUUUGUAAAAUAAAAAUUUAUUUGAAAACCUAAAAUAUUUUUAAAUAUGUUUUAAAAACAAUUUUUAUAUGUAAAGUUUUAUUUUUAAUUAUUUUACAUGUUUAUAUACUUAUUUUUUAAAAUAAUUAUGAGAAAAUAAGUGAAAAUAAUAAAAAAUUAUCUAAAAAACACCAUUUUUUUUAUAUGAAAACACAACUUUAUUUUAUUUCUAAACAUGUUUUUUUGUUACGAUAACAUAAAAUCAUUCUACAAAAUAAUUACCAAACACACUCUAUUUUUAUUUUUUUUAAUUAUUCGAAUCCCACUACUCUUUAAAUUAAAAAGAAGUACACAGAUUCGCUUUCGGCCGUGACUUUAAUAACCCAUAUGUUUCAACUAACCGGCUCAGAUGACAUCAAAACACCACUGAAAACAUACAAUGAAUCCUACAAAACAAACCCCACAUACAGAAAGGUCCACACUACACUCUACACCAUUGUCUAUAAUAUAAAGACAAUCAACCUCCUCCCCUCCCACACAAUUAUUGGAUUCAUCUACAGAACCCCUUCAAAUUUUAUGCUCAUCUUUUCCAAUGGAGAGAGAUCUCACCGCGCACCGCUGCUCCUCACACUUCUCCGGCUGCAUACCGUCGUCUCCGUGCUUCCACGGCCCCGAAGACUAUUCACGCCUCCGCAUUUGCAGCCGCGGCCGCAACCGAAGCCAGAGACUCAGAAACAUCAUAAAGAGGAUAAUGAGAGAAGGCAAGAGCAUAUAUGGGUCAAAACCUUUGACGUUUCAAUACGACGCCGUGAGCUAUUCCCAGAACUUCGACGACGGAUGCCAUAAGGAGGAGUACGGACACUGUUCACAAGUGUUACGGGACUUUAGAUGGGCUGUGCCCAAGCAAUGAAUGUUUGUGUUUUAGUAUCAUCGACCUUAGCUGGCUGUUCUGAUCGACUACUGUUUCUUUAGCUUUGAUUUUGAGAAUGGAGAUAUUCGUAUAUAUAUAAUGCUAAUAUUAGUAGCUAGUAAGGAAUAUGGGUCUCUGCAAGUUUUCUUUUCUUCAUGCAUAUUGGAUCUACAAAUUCCAUGAUUUAUACAGCAAUGGAUGAAGAGGAAAUGAGAUCAGGUGGCCAUGGAUGGGCUGGCGAACCUUCAUUGCUGGGUAGUCUAUAGUGAUUUCUGGAAUUUGUUAAAGUUUUGAAUUAAUUUUACCCAGAGUUUCAAAAGUAGAAAAUAGGAAGUUAAUCUCGUUUAGUAUUUAAAGAAACUUGAAUUUUGGAUACCAGUUUUCCACCUUAUCUCAGCCAUUUGUGCUUUGGAAGGAGCUAGUUGUUUGUUCUAUAGAUGGGUAAAAACUCCCGAAGAACAUGGCUGAAUGGAGUGAACUAGGGAAUGUUUGGUAAUUGUUUUUGAAAAAAAAUUCCAUUUUUGAGAUCUGAUUUUUGUGAAAUGAAUGUUCAUAGGAAAUCUAAAAUAUUUUAAAAAUAUUUUUUAUAUUUAAUAUUUUAUUUUUAAUCAUUCUUUAUAUAACUACUUUUUAAAAGAGUAAUAAGAAAAUAAGUAAAAAAAAUAUAAAAUAAUUAAAAGAUGUUAUCAAAACAAAUAAAGAACAAGUUUUUUUUGUUAAAUUGUUUUGUAUUUUGUAGAAUAGAAAACUGUUUUCAAAAAUAGUUUUCAAACAACUCCCUAGUCUUCUUUUCAUUCCUUAUUUUUAUUAUUUUAGGCUUUGUUUGAAUCGAUUUAUAAGGACUUUAGCAUAUAUUUAAUAAUUUGGUUAAAAAUAAUUAUGUUUUAAAAGGAGCAUAGUAUAACAAGUUAAAAAAAAAUUAUUUCUUAUAAAUUUUUUUAUAAUCUUUCCUUCUUUAACUUGGAACAAUGAUUAUCUUUUUAAAUUGAGAAUCGCCUAACCCUUUUAAUAAAAUAUUGUUAUAUUAACAUAAAAAAAACUUUUUAAAAUGGAAAUCUUUAGGAUUAAUAGGUUAAAAAUAUGAAAAAAAAAAUUCCAAAAAUGGUAAAAUUAACCUAUCUAUUUUAUAAUUUAAAGAAUAGUCAAUUUUUAAGCAUAAAUUCCUUUCAAUAAUUUGAUUAUUUACACAUAUUUUAAAAAAUUAUUUUUGUAAAAAAACCUGAAAAUAUUUUUUAGGAUGAAAAAAAUUGAUGAAUAUAAAUCGGGAUGAUUUAAUCUUUUUUAAUCAAAUAAUCUAAAUUUUAAUGGGAGAUAUUUGGAAAUAUAUUUUAUAUUUAUAUGGAGUAGUUAAAUUAAACAAUUUUUAAAAAAUCACAAAGGUGUACUAAAUUGGAUAUUAAUUGAUUAAGUAGAUUAUAACCGGCCAAUUAAUCUUAAAAAUCUGCAAUGAAUUAGAGAAGAGGUCUCUGAGAACACGAAGAGUGUUUGUGGGAGCGUGAUGAAUCAAAGACAAGUUUGACCACUGCCCUUUGGUCGGUUGUUGGGUGGGUGUGAUCAGUGGACACAUGAAUAUAUUCUCUGGGGUAUGCAUUUGUGAAGAAUAAUAAUUGUAUCGUGACCUCACUCCAUGCUACGUGCAUUCGAUACAACUGGACACGUUAUUGGGCCUUGGAUUGUGGAUCACAUCGCAUCACAUCGCAUCGCAUCGCAUCACUCCUCAAAGGCCCAUCCCAAAGGCCCACGAUGGACCCAUUCCCCAAUCCACCCCUGGCGCUUGUCUCCACACAAGGAAAGGUUCAUGCGUCACAGUCCUGUCACUUUCUCGAGAAAAACGUUUCCUCUGUUCAAAUAUGAAAUAUUCAAACCUACUCUCACCACCGUUUGUCGCUUGUCACAUGCCUCACCUCAUUCCAAGACAGUUUUCUAGUCAAGAUUUGGCUUACAACGGUUUGAUCCCAGUCCCGUUGCUCUUGUGAUUUUGCUGUUGAUUUCAAUUAUAUUGGGGUUUGAUCGUCUAAGUGAUAUGCUUUGGUGGAAUAUUUGCUUACGUGCUGCAUUGGAAAUGGUUUACAUUUUUUUAGUAGUAUUGUGGUCCUUGAACUGUUUGGUGGGUCUCAGACAGUCAGACGGCUAGGUUUCUACAUAGCAUGAUUUGCUUUAGUAUCCAAAUCAAACGGGUUUAUUUUUUAAUAUUCUUUUUACUUGACCUUUUUGAUUUUUAAUUGCUUUGUUUUCAUGUAUCAUUCCAAAACUUUCCUGUUGAAUGUCCUGUGUUCUACUACUUAAUUUGCCAUUUUUGUGACAAUGCUAAAUUGAUAAAGGUAUGAUUACUUUUAUUGGUUUUCCCUCACCCUUUUGUAAUUUUUUUUUUUCCUUUUUCCUUUUUUUUNNNNNNNNNNNNNNNNNNNNNNNNNNNNNNNNNNNNNNNNNNNNNNNNNNNNNNNNNNNNNNNNNNNNNNNNNNNNNNNNNNNNNNNNNNNNNNNNNNNNGAUUUCACCAUGUUUGUCAGACAGAAUAUGUUAUGGUCUCUGACAUGGGUUCAAAUGAACUUUAAUUUUGAGAAGCUUUCCUGCUUCUUUUGUGACUAUUGAUUAUUCACUGAUCAUCUUGAUGCUAGUGUUGGAAUCUUAUCCAAUAUGUCAAUUCUUUUCUCUCUUUAGCAAACAUAUAUAGAAGAAGGGCAUCUAGACCCCAUCAUCCAUAGCAAUAAUAAUGAUAAGAUUUUUGACAGCUAAGGAAAUCGAUGCGCACAUGGUAUUUUUAAUUUUUUGUGAAGCUUUACAAGAAAAUAUGAUCCGACUGAUCUGUAACCGAAUUUAUGGUUGGCGCCUUCAACCAUGUCGAUUGCUUGUGUAGCUCAUCUCAAUCUGAGAAGCAUACUAUUGUAUGCUUUGGGGAUUUUUCAAAUGAAGUUGUUCUCUGCAGCAGUUUCAAGAAAUAAAGCGAGGAUCAAUAUUUGAAUGUAGUACUGUGGACUCUUGACAUUUCUUUAAAGGGCGAGAAAGGAAGUUUUACCCUCCCUAGGUUGUCUUGCUGCUGUCUGCUAACAUCGUUGCUUAGGCUGGCUUAGCUCGAGAUGGAUGGGGACGGCUGAAUCCUCUCCAAUACUAAAGCCAUAUGGAAUGAUGGUAUUCGUGCUUGCGGCAGUCACGUCUCUUGUGCUAUAAACCUGAGACAUGAGGCAUUGUUCCUAGGCUCAUUUAGAUAACUAGUUUCGCUUAAUAUGGUUUAAACAUUGUGAUUGUAUAGAUGUUAGUAAUUUAACCAAUGUACCUUCUUAUACAAUUCCAUGUUCUCUUGGCGAAUAAGGGUCAUCUUCUUGUGCAGUUCCACAUUUUCCUGUUGAACAAGGUUGCCCUGUAAACAAAAUACAAAAAUUAGCUUAUUAUAACUGAAAUCAUUCUUGUAUAAGUCUUAUGUUAAUGAACAGCUGUUGUUUUUGGAAAAACCUUUUGCUUUAGCUCCUCUAUUUCAUUUGUUAGGAUUUGCUCCUGCAGAAGUUAGAGAACCAUGUUAAGUGUUAUGCAUGCAGAACGCUCUUCAUGUGACUGUGCCACAUGAGAGUAAACACAAAGGAUUGCAUGGAGGACUAAGGCUUCUGACCUUUUUCAUGCGGACACCUCGCAAACUCAUUUCCAAUUGGUUCUCUAGAUUUUGUAGAUCCUUGACACUCAAACCAUAAAGUUCUUCGCCCAUCAGUUGCCUGUAUUUUCAGAAUGUGAAUGUAGGUCCAUUAUUCUUUAAUGCAUAUUCCAAUAUUUGAUGCCUUGUCGUAAUUUAAUAGCAUAUCUUGGGAAAAUAAGGGAGGUCAGUUCUCAUCAUCGAAGUACCUCUUUUAUCAGCUAUUUCAUUAUUGAUAACUAUAAAUUAUGAAUGUUAAUGUAAUGUGCUAGUGUUUAAAAAUAACAGCUUAAGAAACAAGUUUUAGACCUGUUUGUAGAUUGUUUCGUGUAACCAUAAAUUACUGAAAAGAGGAAGUGAAAACAUUUGACCUUGUGGUUAUUAAGUAAAUUAUAUGGUUCUGGAAAAUAACCAGAGUCUGUAUUUUAAUGCAUUUCUUUGUUUUGUUUCCUUUAUGACCACAGUUUCGUCAUCCAGCCUAGUCCUGACCUAGUAAAUAUAACUGAAGGGACCCAGCUAACUGGACACAAGCAUUUAUGCUUGUCAAAUAUGCUUGUCUAAUAUUGACCAUCCCAGCAACAAGCUAUAAUAAGAAAUGCAGUACUCUGUUGACCAUGGAGUAAAACAAAAGCAUAAUGGUGCAUCCCAUGAUGUUCGUGUCUACCCAGGCUGAAUUAAACUUUCCCACAAUGUCACAUGUAGUUCGUGAGACUUCACAUUGAUGAGUCACAUGGUGUUGUUGGUUGCCCGGACAAAAUCGUUCAUGUACUUGUUUUGUCCACCUAGAAUGUCUCUGAAUUUUUCUAGUUUUAGCAAUAUCUUGUUAUUAUUUCAUUUUUGAUAUCAGUCUUACAUCUGAAGGACCAAAAGAACUCCUAGUGGACAUAUUAAAUGAUGCUAUAAAGUACACCGUGACAUAGAAAGCUAUAAUGGUACCAUCAAUUCUUAUAAUGUGCUACUUUCAGGUUAAUCACCUUUUCUUAUCAGAUCAAGUAAUUUGAAGGAGAAAGAUUGUACCUGUGGUUUUCUUGCAAGUUCUGUAGUUGUUGCCUUAAAAUUGCUGCUUCUCUCUGCCAAAACUAGCAGAAGUGCAAUGGCACGUAUUAUGGCAUGCAAAUAUGUAAGAUACUUGCUACCACUAUGACUAAAUAGAAAAAUAAACACUUUUUAAGCUCCAACCUCCAUGAAUUUGACAUUAUAGAAAUAAGAUAAAUUCUGAAUCUACAUCUUUUUUAUGUAAUUCUGUUAUCCCUUUUGAUCAACAGAAAAAAAAAGGAAAAGGAUAAGCUUCCAAAACUUAAUUAAUGUGAGCACAACCUGAUAUGAUAAAGUUAGUAUAUUGAAACCACUUAAAGAAAUGAGCCAAGCUACUAAAGUAUUUGUUUUGCAGUCCAGGGCUUUUGUACUAAUAACAAUAUAUAUGUUUUUUUUUUUUUUUAUGUGAAUUUUUUGGUAAUUACAUUUCAAAUUCCUUUUGUCAAUAUUCUUUAAAGGUGUUUGUUGAUUAUAAAAUUUUAAUAUGAUCAAUCAGUAGUGCAAGUUUUUGGAUUUUAUUUAUGCAUAAUGGAAACUUGGCAUAACAAACUGAUCAGUAGGCGGCUCAUGUUUUUGCCAGGAUUCACAGGUGAAGGAACAUGCAUCAUGCAUAUAAAGUCAUUUCAUGUCAAUAUGUAAUAGUUGGGUUUGGUUUUCAUAUGCAACAUCCAAUUCCCAUAUUGUUAUAUCAUAGUGUUCACAAGCAUCUUGCAAUCUGCAUAAACAACAUAAUACAAACUUUUGAUGGUUUACCAGUGACUUUUCUCUUAUUUCAUUGUUAUGACUAACACAUCCUAACAUAAUGGUUAUACUUGGGCAUCUCUUUGUUUUCCAAGUUUUAGUCUUUUGCAGUUCCCUUAAUAUAUUAGAAUUUUAUGUUUAUAAUGGUUAUAAUAUGUCUUGUUGGAUGGUCCUAUAGAGCAGGUUUUCAGAGUGUGCGGCGGUGCUAAUUUACAUUUUCUGUGCAUGAAACUGAAUAUUAAGAUGAUUUUUCCUGGACAUUGGAAGAGUCUCAACUUCAUAAUCUGUUAUGCUUUCGCACAGUUUCAACUUUCUAUUCUGUGAUGCUUAAGCAUAGUCAUUAGGAGAAACUUAUCUUUUCUCUCAGUGCUCUUCUUUAUUUUAAACUUUGAAAGUUCAUUUUCUUGACUUUUUAUUUUUUAUUUUUUAUAGGCUAAAUAAAUUCAUUAAGAGAGCCUAACAGAAAGGGGUAGCACUCCCCAAGUGUACUGAAUGUAUACAUAGGCAUCAAAGAGAAAAACAAAAACAAAAGAAAACUAACUCCUUAUGCAAUCAAUCAAAUCCAUAAGAGACAUAUUUGAAGACCUAAAGAAUCCCUAGUCUGUCCACUCACUUAAAAAACUCUUUUAAAGCCUGAGGUGUGCUUUCCUCAUUGUCAAUGGUUCUUGAGUUCCUCUAUAUCCAAAUGAUGAAAAACAAGUGGAACAGGACUGUGCUCCACACACCUUUUUUUUUUUUUUAUUACAUUUUUUGCCUACAAAAAUCCCAUGUUAACAAUGUAAAACCUAUUUUUACUGAUUGAGGAAGAGCCCAAAAAAGAUCAAAGUGAUAGAAUAGGAGUUUCCACAAAAUACAGGCCAAACUGCAAUGAAUUGGAAUGCGAUUGGCUGGUUCCUCACAAAACUUGUAGAAGCAGAAGCAAUUAGUUAAAUGCCUACCCCAAUCCAUAAGCAGAUUAGUAGUUAGAAGUUGAAGAAAGUCACUUUAGGAGUGUUUGAGACCACACUCCUUCUGAGGGAAAAAGGCAACAAGAUGAGUCAAUGAUCUAUAAAAGAAUUUAACAAAGGUAUCUUGUUCUUGGUGCCUCUCCACUCUAGACAACCCUAACAUCCUCUAGGCACCACCGUCCACGGAACCUGUUGCAGGAAAAGACUCACACUCUCCAACUGUCGGUCUUGAAAAUCUCUCAAAACAAGGACUCCACCUGCCUCUACCACAUUGCAAACUCCAAAUAUCAGCCACCUAAACAUCCUUGUUCUUGGCAAUAGUAAACAACUGGGAAAAAAAUCUUUCAAUACCAAAUCUCCACUCCAAAUAUCCCACCGAAGUUUUGCUCCAUAGCCUCUUCUGAUAGUUUCCUAAAAAUCAAUUUCAAACCCUAUCUCCCCUCCCUAGAGCACCAACCUACCCAUAUUUUCUUGAGAUAACUCAUCUCCACAAAUUGUUCUGAUCCACGUGAAACAUCCUCUACCAUUUACCCAGAAAAACCUUAUUAAAUAUAGACAUAUAACAAAGAUUCAAACCACACCUCCUUUUUUGUGAGUAAAUGAUAGGUCAUCUGAUGUAGUAAACAAGAGUGAUUAUCUAUAAUCGAAUAGGUAGGGCUAGGAUUUCACUUGUUGUGGAUUUAAGUGGAACUGUGAUUAUAGGUUGUGGUAACAAGGAAAAAUAAGAUAAUGUUCGAAGAUUAGCCCAAGAAAUCAAUAAUUAAUUUUCUUGCCGUAUAUUUGAUUUUUCCUACCACAUUUUUUCUUUGGUAAAAGUUAACCAUGAUUUUUGUACCAAGAAUCUGGGUAAAUUUGACAUAGGACCCUUGCAAUCAAAUUGCUUGAUUUCAAGGGAUUGUUUUUUGAUACGUAGUUUAAUUUAAGGGAUCUUGUUGACCCUUUUUUUGUACAUAUAUUGUAAAUUAGAAUGUAAUGAAAUGUUCAAGAGACACUUAGAGAUGAGAAUUGAAGGAAAACAAUUAAUGAGGAGAUUUGAGCCUUAGAAAAAAAUUGAGACAUGGGAUAUAGUUGAGCUUCCCAAAGGGAAUGAAACAGUAGGUUGUAAGUGGAUUUUCAUAAUUAAAUACAAGGCUGAUGGGAGAAUAAAAAGGUAUAAGACUAGAUUAGUAGCUAAGAGUUUCACCCAAACUUAUAGUUUUGAUUACCAAGAGACCUUCGCAACAGUGGCAAAAAUGAACACUACUCAUAUUCUAUUAUUCUUAGUUGCUAAUCUUGAUUGAUCUUUGCAAUAAUUUGAUGUGAAAAAUGCUUUUUUAUAUGAUGACUUAGAAAAAGAGGUAUAUAUAGACACUCUACUUGGGUUUGGUGGCAAGGCUUGAAAGAACAAAGUUUGCGAAGUCUGCAAAGUUCCUUUAUGGACUUAAACAAUCUCUAAGAACAUGGUUUGAGAGAUUUACAAAAUCAAUAACAAAAAUGAACUACCAUCAAAGCCAAGGGGACUAUACACUCUGUUUAUCAAACACAACUUCUUUGGUAAGUUGAUUGCCUUAAUAGUUUAUGUAGAUAACAUUAUUGUUAUUGUCAUUGAUUAGGGUGAAAUUCAAAAGCUAAAACCUUAUUUGUGCAAUGAAUUUGAGAUCAAGGAUCUAGGGAGUCUAAAAUAUUUCCUGAGAUUAAGGUGACACGUUAAAAAAGGGGGGAUAUUUAUUUCCAAAUUGAAAUAUAUCCUCUAUUUGCUAAAGGAGACAAAGAUGCUUGGAUGCAAACUAGUAGAGACUUCGAUUGAGUAAAAUCAUAAACUAUGAGGAAAAUAAAAAAAUGAUAUGGUAGAUUUAGAUCUUUAUCAAAGAUUAGUGGAGAAAUUAAUUUAUUUAUCUCACUCCUGAGUCCCUGACUAGACAUUGCAUAUGUUGUAGGUUUGGUAAGCGAAUUCAUGCAUUCACUACAUGAAUCUCACAUGGAGGCAAUAUGCAAAAUCCUAUGUUAGCUAAAGUUUACACUAGGCAAGGGAAUCUUAUUUCAUAAGAUAGGAAAUAUAGAAUUGGAAGCUUACAGUGAUGCUGAUUGGGUUGGACCUUCUCGGGAGGAAAUCUAGUUACUAGGAGAAGUAAAAACAAUCAGUAGUGGCUAGAUCUAGCAUAAAAGUUGAGUUUAGGGCCAUGGCUCAAGGGAUUUGUAAACUACUCUGGAUAAAGAUCAUUCUUUAUCCAUAAAGUCAUAUUGUGAUAACCAAACUGCUAUAAUGUUUUUUUUUUUUUUUUGAUAGGUAAAUUUUUUAUCCCCAUUGGGACUUGAACUUGGAACCUCCUACAAACCCUCCCUAUCCCUUUACCACUUGAGCCAGGCCUCAAGACCAACCAAACUGCUAUAAAUAUAACCCAUAACCUUGUUUAUCAUGAUCAAACCAACAUGUGGAGAUAGAUUGACAUUUCAUCAAAGAAAAACUUGACAUUGGCUAAUUUGCACUCCAUAUAUCCCAUCUUCUAAACAAUUAGCACAUAUAUUAACACAAGGCUUAUGGAGUUCAACUUUUUAUGUAAUCUUAGACAAGCUGGGAAUGCAAAAUAUCUUUGCACCAACUUGAGGGGAUUGUUAAAAUAUUAGCCUAAGAAAUUAACAAUUAAUUUUCCUGCCAUAUAUCUAAUUUCUUCUACCAUAUUUUUUUUACCCUUUUUUUGUUUUUUUGUUUUUUUUUUUGUAAAAGUUGACCCAUGAUUUUUGUACCAAGAAUUUGGGCAAAUUCCAUAUAAGACCCUUGCAAUUAGGUUACUUGACUUUAAGGGUCCUUUUUUGAUAGGUAGCUUAAUUUCUUUUGUAUAUAUAUUGUAAACCAGAAUGUAAUGAAAUAUAUGAUAGAUUAUUUUUUGUCAGAUAAGAAAAGAAGAAAAGAGAGGAAGAAUGGAAAAGAGAAGGUAAAAAUAAAGCAUUAGAAUCUCAAUAAGGUUUUAAAGGAAUUUAACCUAGAAGAAAAAAGUAAUGGAGUCUCACCAUCACAAGCAAAGAUGAUUCUUAAUCUUGUUUGAAGACUUAUAUCUCCUAACUGAUAAAAAUUAAAGCAAAACUAUAAAGCUAAGUUUUAUAAAUUCUACUAUGAGUCAAACUAAUUCCUCCUAAUUUGAUUCCUCAUUCUCUUUUCACUUUUCUUCAUUUUCUAAUUACACUUUGAAGAUGUAUCCUCAUCAAUCCCCUCCACUCGGAGGAAACUUGACCUCAAGUUUUUGCAGCUGUUCCACAAUAUAUUGAAAUCUAAAGCAAUGCUUUCCACCUUUCCUUUCUUAGUUGUUCCACAAAAAAAAAAAAAAAAAAUGGAAAAUUCAUUAUGCAUAGGAUACAACCACCAUUGAGAGCCUAACAUCUCCUUCACUUUGUUUAAAUUAGAAUGACAGCUCUAAGCUUCUUUAUUUAUAGCCAUUGAUUAACAUAAUUUUGUACUGAUAUAACAGCAGCUGCCUUUCAUUUUGCUGCAUAUAUUUUCUAAACAAGAUCACCACUGCAGUGUGCUUAGAAUGUAGUUUCGGUUACUUGGGUUAAAACAAAAAUCUUGCAUAUGAUAAAUAUUAGAAAUUGUUCCUAAAUAAGUCUUGCUGCCAUGACCAAGAACUCAAUCCAUUUGGACUCUAAAUCACCAAUCUAAUCAACACUAAGAAACACUUUGGUCUUCCUUACUUGCAAAAUUUUCUUCUUUGUAGUUCUCUUAUCUAAAUUUUUCCAUCCAUGUUUUCCCAUUCAAGUGCAUGCAUAAUGAGCACCGUUCUUGAAUGUGUCUAAUUCCUUAAUUGGUGGAAUUUCCUUCAUUGGAUGGAGAAUUUCUUACACCCAUUUUCUAGAAGAGUGGAGUAUUUUUAUAACCAUUGUGUUGAGCUCUUCGAUAAAAAGGUAUGGCCUUCCUAGCAACAUAUGACAAAUUUUUAUUGGUAAGAUAUCACAUCAUAUUGAUUCCUCAAAGACCUUGCUAAUAAUGUAUGUAACUAAACAAUGAGAAUUUCAAAAUAGAGGUGUCAUUUACGUAUGCUAGUUAAUAAGGACAUUCUUAGGUUAAGCUUUUCAAUGAAAUCUUAUGAAGCCAUAUUUAAACUACUACUUCCAUUGGUAAUCAUAGUACAAAGGCUUGCUUGGGAAGAAGCACCCAUAUGGAAAAGUAGCAUGUUGCCAAUCCUCUCCUUUCUUUGUCCUUAGAGCAACCAAUAAUGUUGCAUUGCAAGGCUCUUGGGAUACAACCUAUGUUGCAUGGGUUUAGGUAUGAGUGUUGGAUGCGGGUAUUUGUUUAGGUAUUUGAUCCUUCACAACUCAAAUUUUAGGAUAUGAAGACUCGGCUAAAAAGAAUAUAAAAAACUAGCAUUGGUACUGAGAUACGAUAUAAUAAAGGAAAAGUUAAUUAAAAAUAAAUUAGAAUUAAAGAUAUAUUUUUUAAAAGUUCCCAUCUUUUCCUUUUAAUUUUUUUCCUCUUAUCCCUAAAUGUUCUUACAAAAAUUCUCUUUUUAGCUAACUGUUUUUUCUUUUCUCUAAUGUAAUUAUUCCUAAGUUGAAAGGAUAAAAGGAUAUCAAUGAAAAGAUUAGUCACACGCAAAGUAAAAUAGAAGCGUCCAACAAGGAUCCCAUGUCCACACCCAUGUCAUGUUGUGUUGAUAUAGGUACAUUGGGUGAAAUUGAAGGGUCUAGGUGUCAUAGGAUAAAACAGUACAAUAACUAUCUUUUUUACCAAGUUGCUCAUCAUUAUUAAUCUCAUGUUCCUUUGGAUAAGGUUUGGAUUCAAGUUUCGGUUCUUCAACACAAAAGUGUAGCCUUUUGGUUGGAAAGACAACCACGUAAUGACCAUGUUCCCUAUACUUGAAGCAUAAUGGAGUUAUGCCAACCCUUUUUUUAGCAAAAUGCAUGGAAGUUUUACCUUUUUAACAUUUUUGUUAGUUGCAUUAGAAGAUUGUUGAUUGUUGCCUCCAUUUCCAUCAACGAGAGUAUUAAAUUUUAUUGUACUUGAAGGUUUACUUCUUGUUUGAUUAGAGAAGACCACCGCUUAACCUUGGAUUUAAUGGCAAGUUGGUAAACAUCCUCUAUUGUGUUAGUAUGUGCUACUACCAUCUCAAGUUGAAUCUCCAUUUGAAACCCAUCAUUAAAACAAGUGUUUACUUGAGCCUUGUAUUCUUUCGCCUGGUUGCAAAUAGUCAACUCAUGAAAUUCCUUAGUGUAUUGUUCAACUAAUCUAUUGCCUUGUUUAGGUGAGAACAUCUUAGCUGCAAAAGUUGGAAUAAUUAGUUGGAGGAAAGUGUUCUUUCAUUUUCAACUUCAUCUCAUUACACGUGCUUGUUAUAAAAUUACAUCCUUUUUCAAAUGCUUUGUGAGGUGAUUUUUCAAGGUAAAACUCCCACUCCCUUUCCUUCUUCAACUAGUAGUUUUUUAUGAUUUCUCUGCAAUAACUUCAUAAUUUCUUCUAGUUUGGUUGUUAAGCUUCAUUAUGGCCUCUUUUCGUGAUUAUUGAAGCUUCUUCUAAAUGCGUUAAAGUGGCAUCUUGAUCACUAGAAGUAGUCUUGGAACUCAUGCUUGGCUAAAUUGCUUUUCUCCUUAGUUGCAUGCACCUUCAGGCCAAGAACUUCGGUUGUGAUACCAAAAUUGAUGUAGGACAACCUUAGGAUGGUUGUCUACAUUUAAAUGGUUGGGCUAGGAUUUCACUUGUUUAGGGUUUAAGGAGAAGAACUAUGAUACCUAGACUUUUCUUUUUCACUAGCAUAUUGUAUUAACAGAACAUGUGUGUGGGUGUGGGUUUCUCGUUGGAUACUCCUACUUUGCUUUAGAUAUGAUUAUUUGAUUUUGAUUGAUUGAUUGAUUGAUUGAUUUAUUUUUUAUUUUUAACUUAGUAGAUUAUUACAUUGAAAAAAGAGAGAAUUUAAAAAUAUUUAGGUAUAAGGAAUAAAAGCUAAAGAUAAAAGGAAAAAAAAUAGGAAACUCUUAUUAAAGACAUUAUUUUUAAUUGAUUUCUAAUUGUUUUUUUCUUUAUUAUAUCGUUUCCAGUAUCCAUGUCUAAAUUUUGGAUCCUUCUUAGUAAGUUCUUUGUAUCCUAAUCUUGGAGUUAAAAGAAUUUGAUUGCUAGAAAUGUAUCUACACCUUACACCUCCAACCAAGACCAAGCAACACAGGAGAGGAAUAAUUAUUUAAGCUUGUGGUAGUGGGGAAAAUAAAAUAAAAAGUAGAAAAAGAAAGGAUAGAAAAGAAGAGAUGAAAUAAAGUCUUAGAAUUUCAUUGAAGUUUUCUAAGAAUCUCAUCUAAAACAUAAGGGUAUUGGAAUCUCAUCAUCGCAAGCAAAGAUGCAUGAAAAAACUAAUUUAAUUCUCUAUUUUAUUGAAACCCAAGAUCUAUUAGGACUCUAGUUACUCUACUAGGAUUCUAUCUCUUUUUCUAAGAUUCCUAUAUCUCUGAAGCAAUAAGAGUUAAAACAAAACUAUAAACCCAAAUUUUAUAAAUUCUACUAUGACUCAAAUUAACUUCUCCUAAUUUGACUUUUCUCUUUUUUCUUCCUUUUGUGAUUAAACUUUGAAGAUGGAUCCUCAUUGCCAUCUCACGCUUCCUUUGUUUUUCAUUUUUCCUUUUCUUUUUUAAUAUUUAAUAGUAAUUAAUCAUUUUGUGAUGAUGAUUUUUUGUUUAUCUUAGUCAAUAAAAUGUAUGAAUGCUGUUAUGUUCUGCAUGCAUGUUGAGAUAUGAUGCUUGUAGGAUAAGAAGUGGAAGCUAAAUAUAGGAAGUAAGUAAUCGUAAAAGUUUGUAAAUUGGUAGAUGUGACAUCAAAUCAUGGCAAUCUUGUGGUGUUCUUGCAAGGUGUAGCACUUGAAGACUCACUAAUGUAGAGCUUCAUUGAUUUCCUUUGAAGUGCUUCAUAUAUGUUAACUUUUCUAUUGGCAUAAUACCAUUAAAGAGAGUCUUGGCUGACAAGAUGCUAGAAUAUUGCAAUACUAUCUGCUUUGCUCCUGAUAGCAUUAGUUGUGCUUUUUGACACUAGCUGAGAGUGGGGAGUUCUUUGUUUGAGAGAAACUACCAUUUAGAUGGGAAAAUUGAAUAUCAUUCACUGAGACAAAGGACAAAGAAUGAAAAAAUGGAUGACAAAAAUCAUCAUUACAAUGAAGAAGCAUAAAUGCUUUUAUUAACGCCUUGAUGAAUGACAGAGAAUCCUAUGAUUCCUCUUUUUGUUGUUUUACUUUUUGUAAUUCUCUUCUUAGACAAUGAAAGACCUUCUGAAUUGGGUCUUUUACAAGGUGGCAUUGAUGCAGAAGGUUUCAAGAUAUCUACCCUGAUCCUAGUGAUUUGAGCCCCAUGAAGACUAUAUAUGAUAUAGAAAGAACAAAGAAGAACUAAAGAAAUGAGCAGAAUAAGAAGAAUAAAAUGUGAGGGAAGAGCAAGGCUACCUAAGUAUCUCCUCUCCUUCCCAAGGUAGUUAGUCUAAGCAAAAGUGAAGAAAAGUUAGCACUCUGAGUUUGUCAUACCAAUUUCUAAUCCAGUGCACAUAACUAAUUUUGACCUAUAUAGCACAGACAUAGAUAACAGGAAGUCAUGCGUGCCGAGCUAGAACAUUGUCACUGUUGGAUGUUUCCAAAUUGGUGGAAAAAAAAGUAUUUUGGGUGCCCCAAGGGGACAGCAGGAUACAACUGGACAAAUUUUAACUACUAAUAAAUUGCUUUUAUAUAUUUUUUUUAAUUGGACACAACCUUAGGGAUACAGCAUUCAGGAAGUUCGAUUCUAUUGGUAGCAGUGAUACUCCUAAGGAUUAAGAUCAAAAUACCUUACUUCAAAACUUGUUUCCAAACAUGAGACAUCUGGAGAGAGGACAAGAAAUUCGAAAUGUCCAUGCGAUUACGUGGUUGGGGAUUUAUCACUUAGUAAAGACUCUGUCAAAAGCAAAUGAUAUCUUUUUGAAGAAAUUGACAAAUUUGAAUGUUGUAUGUAGAGUUCCAAGUAAUGCAGUGAUGAAAAAUAAAAUGGGCAAUAUUUCUACAUGCUUGAUCUGUUCUUGGAAUACAGGAUUCCUAGACAUUUGAAUGGCACUCCAGUUGCAGAACAUGAAGGAUUGGUAAAAUACUAAAAAGUUAGGGAGGAUGCUAUUUGCGAAAGUUUCUGCAGCUGUACUAGCCAUUGUGUGGUAUUUUUCUUCAGUGCUAGAUUAAGAUACAAUAUCCAGGUAUUAGUUUUCCUUGAAAUGAGUCUUCAAGGACAGAAGCUAGUGGUCAAGUGAUGAUGAUUGUGAUGAUGGCCCAGUAAACAGUAAAAUAGGCAAGGGGUUGCAGUAAAGAGCAUUUAAAAGCCUGGUUUCAUAUGCAAGAUCUUCAAGUUUCUGUACCAUAUAAUAUGCAUGCAUUCACACAAAAUACACUUACAAUAAUAAGCAUACAUGCAAAAUUGUAUGCAUGCAUGUGUGGUUUUAAGAUUAGUUAAGUUUCUCAUUGGUAUUCCUCUUUCAGACAGAAUGUUCUGUUCUUUUGAUGUCUCCUAAUUCUUUAAUGCAUAUUUAAUAUUGCUGUGACUCUUCCCAAACUCUGUAAGAGGCUUCAUUGUUAAAAAAAGGGAUGAACUUGGAAUUUUGUAUCUAUGAUCACAGGUUCAACUAAGGCUUUUUUUUUUUUUGUUUUUGUUUUUCUGUCAGUGUUAAAAAAAGGUUUUAUUUUGUUGGUGCACCUAUGGCAUGUUUUAAUUUCUUUAUUUAGUCAAUAACUUAAUCUUGUAGACUAGGUUUUGCAAUGCUGAAAGGUAAAUUAAGAUGGUCCUAUCACCCAUGCAUGCAUUAUUGACUGCCAACCCUUUUGAGCAUUACAUGCCUUACAAAGGAUACACUUAUUGGAUGAUCAGAAUUAUCCUAUCAGUUCAAUGUUCAGGAUAAAUGCCUAGUUCUUGGUAGAAACCAAAAUCCCCUCUUCUACCUGCUACAGAUACUUGACACGGAAAACAUAUGUUGUUUGCCUGUCUCAGUUGUGUCUAAAAAGAAAAAAUUCUUAAUUUUCUAUUAUUUGGUAAUACCCAUACAUGUUCAGCACUCAUAAUUAGACAAAUAAUGUGAUGAAAUUAAAUCUUUUAGAUAUAGCUCUUUUUGUGCUGUGGAACUUGCAGUUGAACAUUGAAGGAUGGUUAAUGAAGGAAUACCUUGACUUCUGAUGCUGGAUUCAGCAAUUGAUGAUUCUCCUCUUUUGAUUUGUGAUAUCGGUCAAUUGCAGAUUUUAUGCUGGUAAGAGUGAAGAGCAAAGUGAUUAAUUUUUGCACAAUUCAUUAACUUUAAUACUGGAAAUUUCAACAUGAUAUUGUGGUAUUCCAGGAACACAGCAACAGAAAUCAAAGGGGAGAAAAGAAAGGAAUAAAAAGUAACGAAGGCUAUAAUGCAGAUCAUAAUAUCCAAAUACCUGUAGCCUUUCUUCUUGGUUGCUAUGUUGUGUCAUACGGGUAUAUGUAAUUCGUGAUAUAUGCUAUUUAAUGUAAGAAACUGAUGAUUAUCUGUGGUCAAGAAUUUGAGAUUUCCAUGUUGAGGAGCUAGAAUAACAUACAGGUUUUAAAAGUGGAGAUGUCCUCUCAGUUUCUUGAACUUUCCAUAUCCAAACUUAAAAGAUCUAAGGCUAGUUUCCUAUUUUAAUUUUUAACUGAAAACCUUGACAGGAUUAGCUAUACUAGGUUGAAUCUAAAGACUUGAGAACUGCUUGUUAGGGAUACUUGGUCAUUUUUCCAUCACUUACUUUUCUCUGUCAUAAAAUAUCUUUUAAUAUCUUUGCUACUUCCUAUUUGUCUGAUCAGUUGGUGCUUGAGGGGAAAUCAGAAGUUCAUUGUAACAUACCUCAACUUAUUCUUCUCUUGUGGAUGCAAACUCUGUGCAAAUGGUUUAUUGUACCUUGGAAUUAGAGACUCCAAUUUUCUAACAUUGUUGUUACUCUCUCUCAUGGAAAGAGAUUUUUUUGUAAACAUGAUACUCAGAAUGUUGACUAUAUUAUAAGUUAUAAAUGGUUCAGUUUUAUGCAUGAACAAUGAGAUAGUUAUGAAGAGAUGCACAUAUUUUAUGUAUAAUUUGAUUCAGAACCUGUGAUUCAUUUUGUCACUUAUCACUGCAGACUGCAGAGAAAGCAGGAAAGUGAGUAAGUAAAUAAAAAAUGAAACUGUAUGCUUGAAACUUAUUUGGAGUCAGCAGAUACCAUUCCAAAUUAGGUAUCUUUAAAUUGAGAGGCCUUAGCAGGGCUUGUACUUGAGAUUCUUUUAGUAGACAUUUAGAAGAACUUCUCUCUUCCUCUCUGAAGGAGUUCAAAAAACAUUUGCUAAUGACUCUUUUGCUAUGAUGUUCCUUGCUUCCUGCUGCUAUAAAUUUAGGUUUGGUCAAAACUAGGCCUUACCUCUCACACUUUCCUUUCUACUCAUCUGACUAUAUUUCAUGCUAGUCCUUCCAUUCAUCAUUCUGCUGAAAUUCUAGCUGUUUUCCACUGAACCUGUCUUUUCAAUAUCACAGGAAAAACAUGUUGAUGGUUGGCUAUUUUGCUUUGAAGGAAACAUCAUUUACAUUUAUUCGUUCUUUUCUUAACUUUCUGUUCCAUAGGGAUUGCACUUAUUCCUAAAAUUUUGUCAGUUAGAAAUUUCAAAUUUGUUCUUGGUGAAACACAAAGGUUUAUCUAAUGUCCAUGAAAUUUAAUAGCAAUUUGGAUGGAGGCUUCUUGCAAGCUCUCAACAAGUAGGUGGCCACUAAAAGGUUUGUGUUUCCUAGAAAAUGUUGGAGUACCUGGUGCACUGGAAACCAUUUCCUUCUGGUAGGGGUUCUGGAUUGCUUAGAGUUUCACUAUGGAAGUUCUCAAAUCAAAGUGGGGAAUCAGCCAUGUCAUUUGUGAUAUUGAGCAUGUAAGGAGGUUGAUUCUUUUGUUGCUUUCUUGCAGAAUCAUUCAGGGCUCAAACCUCAAUACUAAGAAGAAUCUUCAAGCUUUAAACAAGGGUUGUAUCUAGGGCCAGGGGUUGCUGUACCAAUUGCAACCAGACUGUAAGUUUUAUUGUGCUAACAGAUGAGGUCCUUGUAGUGGUUUUGAACUGAUAUAGUAUGGAGUGGAACAUGCUUAGAAAUUCUGUAAGGAUGAGACAAUGAGCCACUAGGCCUUGGCUCUUUAUUAGAACUACAGGCUUCUUAGCAGGAGAAAAAGGGAUCCAUUAGAUCCCAAGACAUUCACUCUACAAUGGUUCCUUUAGUCAUGGAAGAUGGUUUGAUUCUCUUACUCCUUUCAUGUUCUCCUUAGUUGUUUAUUUGUACUUGGUUAUGAAAGGUGUAUAUGUAGUUGUUCUCACCAGAUUACCUGGUUCUUUUAUUGGUUAAAACAAGGAAAGUGCCACUUUCACCAUCUUUUAUCCCACAUCCCUCGUAGGUAAAAUGAGUAAAUCGACUAGCAUGCCGGUGUCCCUUCAUCUCUAUGUCAGUAGACAAAGCAGAGAUGUGAGGGUAGUAUUCUAGUGUACAGAUAAAUAAUGAAAAAAAUUUAGUUCUGGGAUUAACAAUGACACAAGUUGAUAUAUAACUCAUUAUUAAAAUUAAGUUUUGGUCUACUUUACCUUCAAAAAAUUCAAAUUGGGCAUAACUAUACUGACCAAUGCUGAUGGUAACACAUCUUGAACAUGGAGAAUAUAAAGAUGCUGGCAUCUAGGUUCAGCCAAAGUCCAUAAACAUGUUAGAAAGUAGCAAAGGAUGCAAUUGAAGCACAAGUGUCAAUUGUGGCCUGCUUUCCUCCUUUUUUCAUACCCAAUAUAGACUAGAUUUGAAAUCGAACAUUUGGAUUGGACACAGGUUUGGGACAAUGUUGGAUUAUGAAAGUAUGGGUGUAGAAUAAUCUUAAUUUAAAAUUAUAUAGUAGUUUUUAAGGGAAGGCUAUUAUAAUGUUAUGUUACCUAACACACUUGGACCAAAAAGAGAAAAAGAAACGUAGCAAAGUUGGACUAAUCUACUUAAAUGCCUGUUCCAUGCUGAAUUCCCAAAAGUAUACACCCAUCUCCUUAUCUCAAUACGAAAAUCACAAGAAAGAAUGAUUUUUCUACGUUUCUAGAUAUGGAAUCAUGGAAAGUUGCUCAUGGUCAUCAUCUUUCUCCAAUUAGACAAAGCUACUUGGUGCACGCCAAAUCAAUUUGCAUCACAAUCCUCAUCAACAUCACGGAAAGAAUUCAAGGAAAUUAAGAAAAGGAGCUCUUCAGUAAAGCAAGGUCUCCGGUAAAAUAUACGGAUAGCUAAAGACGGAAUUAUAAAAAGGCCCCCCUUUUCUAACCAUUCUUGUAAAGACAAAAAGAAAUGAUAGUUGUGCCCUUAAUUAGAUUCUCGUAGUUUUCAGUUUGGGAAGCAGUGUGGAAUUGCCCAAGAGAGGGCCAUGGUCUUAAAGAUACAAAAAUAUGACAUGAACAUUAAGUUUGAGAUAACAAAAACUUUCAAUGAAGAAUCAAUUCUAGACAAGAACAAAAAUAAUAAAACUGCCAUUUCAGCGUAAUGGUGCUGCCAUGACAUUCUCAUAUCUGGUAUCUUGAUAUAUAGCUUUGCAGCAAAGUAUCUAAGAAGAAAACAAGUUUGGUGACACUGCAAAUCACACCCAAUUUUUUCCUUUCCUUUCCUUUCCUUUCUGAAGUAGGAUACUGAAACUUUUCACACCAAUGAAAACAAGAUGUAAGAGAUCAAAGACAGCUAAUCCCCUAUUUAUACUUCAAAUGUUUCUUACAAUCUUUUGCUGUUUGUAUUUCUGUUCAGUAGAGGAUUGAGGGAACUCAUGGCAGACUUCAGCUUAAUGCUUGAACCCAGGUCACUUAAGGAUUCCUCUACAUAGGGGACUAGAGUCUUGAGCAGUCUUUCCACACAAUCUAGGAACUAAAACAAUAAUACACUCCAUAUUCAAGUUUCUUAUUCAAAUUCAAUCAUCCUAAAUGAGACAACCAUGCAAGGCCUUUGCCAGCUAUAUGAAUUAUCAUUUCGUUCUAAAUAAAAUUUUACAUGGAAGUAGCUUAUCCUUAUCCUUUCACACAACUUCUAAAUUUUUUUCAUCAUAUCAUGCCGGUUCAGGAUGAAAGUGCAGUCUCUCUUGUUGCCAUUCGCAGUAAGCAUAAAAACCCUUCUCUUUCUUAUGUAAUGAUGCUAUGGAAACUAUAUUUGUUGCAUCACAAAACUACAUGUCACAACAUCAAUGAACAAAGAUCUUAUUCAUGACAGAAAGAUAUAUGCUUAUAAAAGGGAAUCUAGACUUAUAAAAUGAAUGGAAAAAUCCUAUGAUAAAUACAGAAAAACUUAAUCCACAGCUAAUUAACAAGAAGCUACUGUAGAUUCAGUAUUCUAUUUAUUGCUUGCCUAUCAAGAAAAGACAAUAUGCUACUGUAAAUGAUAAUAUAAGCUUCUAAAUAUGCAAAAAAACUCAUAAGAGUUCUAAAUGAUAAGGUGAUAAGAUGCUGCAAACCUUGUGCUUGCAAAUUCAUAGAGCUUCCCAGUGCUGGAAAAGAUAAUCAGUCCAACUUCUGCAUCGCAUAGAAUUGCUAGCUCCUUAGCCUUCUUCAACAGUCCCUUCCUUCGCUUUGAGAAGGUAACUUGCCUGCUCGUAGUAUUAUCGAUCCUCCUAAUCUCGAUCUUUCCUCUUCCCAUCCUCACGGCUCGCUCUAGAUUCUAGGGUUUCUACAACAUGGAAAAGAGAUACCGUAGUGAAUAAACCAAAUGAUUGUUAGCGUAAAAUGGAAGAGGAUUUAUAGAUGAUCUUACUCUUUUAAGAUUCAAAUUCAAUGGUUGAUGCUGUGAGAGGUUUGUAAGCAUUCUUAUUCACAUCUUCUUUAUAAGGGAAUAAGUGGUUUUCAAUGAAAGUGAAACCACUUAAUAGGGAGAAUAUAGGACUGGUUUGAAAUCCUGAAACCACUAAUAAGAGUGGGGUUGUUUUACAGUUGUGUACUCGAGGAUGAAUCAGAAGCUGUAAAGACCUUUUAAUUUUUUUUAGUAUUUUGAUGGUGUCAUCCCCGUCCGCCGUAUUAGUCAGUGACACCUGGGAAUACUAGUUCAAGUAUAGUAUGGUUACUUGAUUAAUUUUUUUAAGACACGGAAAAUAUUAAUAUAACACGGGUUGCACUAAACGCUUGAGCACUGUGAAGGAUAAUUACAAGGCGGACGCUUGGUAAAGCUUUAUACUUAAUGUUUAAUGACUUAAAAGUGACUUUAAGUUAAAUAUAUGCUUAAUUUAUCAAGUCAUACUGCAGUUAAACCACUGGCUAAAGUAUAAGCAAUCCCUGAUAAACUAGCUCAUGUUUAUUUAAUGAGCCAAGCAAGCAAAAAUUUUGGAUUGAAGCUGCACCAAUAUUUGAAAUGAUCAAAUUGGUCUUUCCAUGAUAUACACUGUUGUUCUAUGCAUGGAUAUGUAGUCUUUCAUUGCACUGUAUGCAUGGAUAAUAUACAUAGUGCUCGCAAUUCAAAACGUGAGAACAUGUAAUUGGUUGUUGUAACUUGUGAUACAGAAAAGGCCAUAUUCUCUGUUGGAACCAAAUCCACGGCCACUGGAUUUGGUUAACCUACUUAUAGAAUUCUGUCUCAGUUGAAUUAGUAAUGUUGUGUAUUUGUCUACUAUGGAACACCAUCCUUCUGCUUCCAUCUUCUUGCUUCAUUUGCCUUACAACAUCAUGAUCUCUAAAGAUGGAUACCUGUUACAGUUCCUUCCAAGACGGAGAAACCCUGCAACUGGCUGCAGGCCAAUGGCAUGUUACCGACACACAUGUGAAGGGCCGAAACCCCCCAUCCGCCAAUCGAGAGGAGUCUUGGCACGCCCUUAUCGUGCUUAGCCCAAUGGCAAACAAUCCGUACAAUCCCAUCACCCAGGGUUGUGAGUUUUACUCUUGCCAAAAAGAAUUUAUUCAGAAACUGUGGAUAUAUAUAUUAUAUGCGAUGGUUAGAGACCUGAAUAGACUUGUAUAAACAAAUCAUGUUAGCUCCGGUCGGUGCAUCAACAAUGAUAAAGGUUUGGUGACUGCCUGUAAACACAAUUUACGAUUGGCUGAAGGCCACGUGAAGUGGAUUUGUUCAACCAAUGAGAUUGAGUCUUAGCAGGAAAAUGGUAAUGGGAACAAGGGAGACCCAAAGUCAAGAGUGGAUUAAAAAAGUGGGGAGUAGUCAUGCCUCCAACUACGAGCAACGAGCUUAGCCAGGUGUCAAUCAUCAACAAAUCAUAUAUGUGCAUAGGCCGAGGAAAAGAGGUGAUCUCAUAAACAAUGUUCAUUACUUUAUCUUCCCAAAAAAUGGAAAUGCCACUUUUCUGAGUCACCCGCCAUUGAAAAUUGCUUCUUUACAGAUGCGAUAUUGUUAAAGGGGCAGAGAUAUAAAAUAAUGAGAUCAGCACAUGAACUUUUAUCAUAACUCUCAAUUUCCUCCACCCAAGGAGAGAAGAUAUGGCUUUCCUGGAAAGGAGGAUGGGGUAUGCCCCUUUUGAUGCCUCAACCCCCACAUGCACUUGGAAGGAACAAACUUGCAAAAUUCACGUACGAUUUGAGUUUUGAGAACAGCCCUCAUCAUUAGCUGUGCAUGCAUGGAUUUUGAGGGAUUUGAAGCACAAGGAAGCUGACUACAUUCCAAUCUUGUUUGCCUCUUUUUAACUUACACUUUUAACCAAGCCACCCACUUGCCUGUAUUUGUCUCUCUGGCCUCCAUCUCAAAGAAUCAGUGAAGCCUCUUCAACCACGUAGUCCAUCCUAUUAUGUAUAUCGAGGAAUGGAAACAAGACAGAUGGACAUCUUCAAAUCCAAAACCACUAGUUCACCUCAUUUAAUCUUCAUAUAUAUGGUUGGAAAUUGCAAAAUUUGAGUUUAUUAUCUCCAAGAGGAUAAGGGCACACAGCCAGAGACACUACACCAUUCAAUUUCUCACUGAAUAGUUCCCAUUUCACCGGGUUUGAUGGUUUUUAUCUUCAAGAUAAUGUUUCUUAUUAAUUAUUACUUAUUAAAUAUGAAAUGUAUUUCUUGGGCUCCAAGACUGCUAGGCUUGCUCAGCAAGGCUCGAAGGCCACUUAGGUGCUUGUAGUGGGUUGGGCCCAAUUGUAGAAGCCCAACAACUUCUAGCCCGAACGUAUCGUUUAGUUGACCCUUACCAAAUGUGAUACAAAAUUAGGGUUUUGCUUCGGGUCCGGCAAUGGAUGAUGGUAGUAACAAUUGGAAGGAAUACAGGGUGCUUCAUUGCCAUUUUAAUGAGCUCUUCGUUCCUAUUAAACGACACCGUUUCUGACCUUCUGGUUUUCUAUCUUCUUUCUCCGUUUCGUCUUCUGCAAGUGAAAAAUGCUGGGUUUGGGCUUCAUAGUAUUCUCAAUUCUUGUAAGACAGAUCCUUUUUCUUUUUUUUGGGUAUAAUAAAUGUAGGAUUCCUAAACUAAAAUGAAAAACAAUUCCUCAUACUUCUCUUAAGUUAAUUAAUAUUUUCAAUAAUAUCACUUAUUGAAUACUAAGCAUCAUCUUUUAACUUUUUGAAUACAUUCGCUUUAACUCAAUCUUUAAAUUUAAAAAACUUAAAGUUUGAUCGCCAUCCUCUACAAGUUUUAUUAUUUAGAAUACGUUUGAGAGUGAUUUUAGAAAAUGUUUCUAGAAUUUCUAACACUUGAAUGAUGAAAAUUUUCGAGUAUUAAAAAUAUUAAAAACAUUUCCUAUAAUCACUACCAAACGGGAUCUUAGUGAAACUUGAUAUUUAUGCGUUUGCUUUUACCAUAAAACAUUGGAUUAUUUGUCAAUACAAUUACAACUUAUCAUUUGUAAAAUCUUCGGAUUAUCUUUCUUAAGCCCUUCUUCAAUUAAAAUUCUGUUCUUCUUGCUUUUUUUUGAGCCAAUGUUCAACUUUUAUUUUUUAAGAAUUGUGCAUCUAUACUCACAAUCGACUUACCUAAUUUUGGAUUAUAUAAUUUGUAACUUUUAGUUAAUACUUCUCACUUUUAUCAUCAAAUUUUUUUCUACACUUUUCUAGUAUAUGGGAAUAAACAAUACACCAAGUAAAAAAGAAACAUCUUACACUUGUUCAAAGUCAUUUCCUUCUUUGGGAUUAGUUCAAAGUCAUUCAUCCGUUCAUAUUUUAGUAUCUACAAUUUCAUUUGCUUGACAUGAUCAUCUUCUUUGCACAAUUUUUGUAGAGUAUCCCAUGCACACUUUGUUGUUUUUGUCGUUGAGAUUUUCACAAAUAUAGAUUUAUCUACGGUUUAGAAUAUUAUAGAAUGCUUCAUAAUCUUUCUUUUGGGGGAUCAUUGAAUAAAUUUCUUUGCUCUUAUAAUAGCACCUCAAAUAAAAUAAUUCUUUUGAAUUAGUCACUUUGUUGUAACCAUUUUUUUUAGUGGGAUCUAAAUAAGACCCGAUUAUUGAAAUUAUUGCUUGUAAAUUUCAAUUAAGUUACCAUUUGUAAUCUCAUUUCAUCAACAUAAUUGCAAUUUUCUUAAUAUUAUGCAUAUUCUUUGUAUUGAAGUUCUAAUCUUCCAAUGUUGCACCUUUCUUGAUCUUUUAACUCUAAUACCACAUAUUGGAAUACUUUCGGUAUUGAUAAUCAUUCUAUUUAAAAAAUGAUAUUUUAUUUUAUUCAACUCAUUAAUCAACAUAUGUAAUAACAAGUCUCUAUUUAUAAUAAAUUUAUCAUUUGAAAGUACUAUUAAUUUAUAAUUAGACUUAAAGUCUUAAAUAAUAUAAAAAACCUAAAUAAAUAAUAAUUUUUAAUAUUUCUCAAACUUCUAAAAUUUUAGGUUAUAUUUGAUUUUUGAAAAAUUUGAGGGAAAAUAGAAGAUAAAAAAAUAGAGAGAAAAAUUAGAAAGAAAGAGAAAGUGAAAAAAAAUAAAAAAAAGGAUUUAAAGUUAAUAAAUUAUUUUUAUAUCAUGAUUUUAAUUUAUUUAAAUUUUUUGAUAUAAAGAUUAAAUAAUAAUUUUAAAAUAUUGAAGUUUCUAAUUAAUUUAAAUUAUAUUUAAUUUUCUUUUAUGUUUUCACAAACUAAGGAAAAAAUUAUUUUCCUUCAUAUAUUUAUUUUCAUUUCUUGAUAUUUUUUAUGAAUCAAAUGUAACCUUAAAAAUUAUAACUCCGGAGUAAUGUUUUCAACAUUAGAAGAAAUAUUAUUUUCAUAUUUUGUCUUCAUUCGCUUGUCUGCAUAGAUGCCGCUGGCCAAACUGGCAGUCACAUUGAAGUGUUUGAAAUAAAUAUUAUCAUAUUACGAGGAAAAUUACUUGGUCUUAAAUAUUAAUUACACGCACAGCUCACUUGUAGCAAAAUGGGUUGUCGAUUGCUAAAAAUGCUUUUUAAUGUUUCUCUGGCUUAAGAAAAUAGCAGCAUUAUUCUUUAAUUAUUCUGUUUCCCAACAAUUACGGAUUCCUUUUAGAAUUCGACCAUUGGAGGUCAACGUUGUGAAAUGAUAUAAAAUCUUGUGUUGAAUCCUUCUGCCAUGUUCUGGUCCUUGGUUUUCUUUCUCGUUGAUAAGUCUCCUACCCGUUUCAGCUGAGCAUGGGGAAUUGCUAGCUGCUGUUGCAAAGUCAUGGAGUUAACGUAAACGUAAUCAUAUGAGAUGUACAUACGAGACUUGGUUUGAAAGGAAGGCAUAUUUAAUGUUUCGAGGUUAUCAUGAUGAUGAUUGUUUAUUUUUUAUUUCCUUGAAUGCCGGCAGUUUGCAGCGAAAAAUCCGCAAUUAUCAGCAUUUCUUCAUAUUUUGGGGAGAUGAUCCAUUUCAAUGAUUCAAUACAGCUUCUCCUCAGAUUUAAAAUAAAAAGAUGGUAGUUGAAACUUGAGCAUCAAGGUAUAAACUAAUGCUAGAAUUAUUAUAUAAGGUCAAAUGCCAGUUUCAUGCAGUAGCCCUGGCUACUUGUCCUUGAAUUUUCUCUGUGUGAAGAGAGCCAUGGCCACCUCUUUCUGUGAUUUACCAACUUCAAUUACUACCAAUAUCCUAUCCUCCCUUCUUUGCUUCAUUUUCCUCCCAUGUGUUUACUCAGUUUCCUUCCAAAUAUCUCGCUUUGGCCGUGAUGGAAACAUCCUCUAUGAAGGAGAUGCAGUACCUUCUGUUGGAGCCAUUGAAUUCAACAAAGUGAAUUACCUAUGCCGUGUUGGUCGUGCCAUUUAUGCUGAGAGAGUGCGGCUCUGGGACUCUAACACAGGAAAGCUCUCCGACUUUUCUACUCAUUUCUCCUUCAUCAUUGACACCCGGGGUGCCACGAACUAUGGUCAUGGGUUGGCGUUCUUUCUCGCUCCCGUCGGUUUUCAGAUCCCACCCAACUCAGACGGUGGAUUUUUAGGCCUAUUUAACACCACAACCAGUUUCUCAUCUCAGAAUCAAAUUAUUGCUGUUGAGUUCGACUCUUACUCAAAUGAAGAGUGGGAUCCUCCAUUCGAGCAUGUGGGUAUCAAUAACAACUCGAUUGCUUCAGUUACGUCCACUAGAUGGAAUGCUAGCUUUCACAGUGGAGAUACUGCUGAUACUUGGAUUACCUACAAUGCUACUACUAAGAAUUUGACUGUGUUCUGGAGCUAUGAAGCAAAUCCUGUUUNNNNNNNNNNNNNNNNNNNNNNNNNNNNNNNNNNNNNNNNNNNNNNNNNNNNNNNNNNNNNNNNNNNNNNNNNNNNNNNNNNNNNNNNNNNNNNNNNNNNUAUUUUGUAACUACAAAGAUUCAUCACCUUUUAAGAAAUGGUUUGAGUGCUAUCUCAAUUUUCUACACAGCUCAACUUCACUUGUUUACUCAUUUCUCAAAGUGUAGUUCUGUUUCACCAUUUAAGCCAACUUAGCAUAUCUAAAAAGUACAAUUAAACAAGUUGUGUGAAAAUAUUAUAGUAAAAACUAAGUAAAAAUUUGCUCAGGGAUGGAACUAAAAGAACUCCUGCUAUAAGCAAAAUGGAAAGUUACCUGGUCAUAGUCAAUGUAGCCAGUGCUCUCAUUCAAUCUAUAUGGCAUUGUCUCAAAAAAUAUAGACACUGCAGAUAUUUUCUUGGUGUCGGUCUGCACAAUAGCGAAGAAAUGAGGAGGUUACUCCCUAGCACAUAAGAAGGCAAAGUAAUAAUACCACAAACAAGGAGAGAUCAUCAAAUAUUAGAAACCUCCCAGAUGACAGUUCAAACACCAAAAGAGAAUAUAUAUAUAUAUAUAUAUAUAUAUAUUCAGUUACUACACUCUGUGCAGCUAUUAAGCUUGCUUUGAAAACAGAAACUCACAUAAUUAUUUUUCCAAGCCAAAAUUUUUUUCCCAUGGCUAAAAAGUCAAAAUAGACAGCCACUGAGAAGAUGGAAAGCACUGGUAUAUCUAGCAGGGAACUCUAGAUGAAAGUCAUAAGCACCUGAUAGCCAUGAGAAAGAUGUCCACCAUGAGGAAGAUCAAGUGCCAUAAUUCUUUCAUGAGCUUUUAAUAGUGCAGUGUAAACUUGAAAAUUUGCAGGCGAGCCAGAUAAAGACUGCACGUUCACUGCAUAACCAAGGGUGAUUAAACAUUUAUCAAAGCUGACACACUAUUACCUGCUGAAAAAAAGGAAAGGAGAAAGAAGAAGAGAAAACACAGCGCCUGGAAGUUUUUUCACUAAGGGUGCCAUGAAGGAAACUUUUCCUUUCCUAUCAAAAUAAGUAGUCUUAUAAUUUUUCAGAGUGCCCAAAAGUAACCAGAAUUGAUAACUUUUUAGGCUAGAUGUUAACUUCAUAUAUAUUCUGAUAUUCGCAUCUAACUGAUACUAUUUAGGACAUAAAUGAGCAUUGCUUGUACGGAUCCAGAGAAUCUCAAACAGAUAAAUCCACAUGCCUACAUAUCUUUCAGAAAACUUUAAACCAGUUCAUGGUGAGAAAAGAAUUUCAAAAACAUUGCUUUGAAACAUGUAGAUGGCAUCUAUCUUGACAUACAUGAUCAUAUGUAUUUACCUCCCCAUUUUGCAGGAUCCAACCGAAAUGCUUCCAAAGCACGCUUCUGGCACAAGGAUUCUGCCAUGUCAAUGUACCUGAAAGAUAAAAGGUUUCACUCUUUCUACUUCAGUACUAACCAGGAAAUCCAAAAGAAUGAACACUGGAACUGACUACAUAAAUAUGAUAAUGCUAAAUGAUAACAAUGACCAAUAGACAUUACAAAUACCACGAUGACCAAUAAACAUUACAAAUACCACGAAAGAAAAUCAUGAUAAGGAAAUUAAUAUCUUCUUACUCAUUUCCUCCAUAGUAUCUAGCGCCUGGAUAUCCUUCGCUGUACUUGUUUGUCAUAAUAGACCCAACAGCUUGCAUAACUGACACAGAAGUGAAGUUCUCGGAGGGUAUGAGUUCAAGUCCCUUUACAAACACAAAAGAUUUUCAGUAGGAUAUCAACUUGUACACAAAGCACCAACUCAAAAUCGAUGCCGAAAAGGAAUCUAUGCUGAAAAAUUCAAGUUAAAUCUGCAAACAAUUUUAUAUUUGGAUGAUUGUUUCAAUUUUCCAACAACUGAAACGAUAAAAGAUGUAAUGUACAAUUUCCUUUUCUUUCAUUUUCUUCCAGUUUCUCAGUAAUGAAACAGAACAAGGUGAUACGAGGUCACAAAUUAACAUGUUCUAUAACUUCCACGUGGAUUAAUGCUGGUUCAAUGAAACAUGAAUAGCAACUCCACUGGUGAAGACAUUUGUACCUUCACAGUCGAUUUAACAAUUGAAUCCACUACAACUCGAAAGUACUGUUUAAAGAAAAAAAAUAUCUACAGAGACAGAGAUAUCACCUUCCAUUGUCUUGCUUUCUCGAGCUCAAUAAUGUCUGCAAUUUCAGGAUCCACAACCCCCAGCGGAGCAUUCAACUGCUUUGGCCACUGAAAUUUAUACCAGAACAGAACAAAUAAGAUGAAACGACAUAAUAAACAUUCCAGGAGAGAAGAGAAAAAAAAAUCAAUAAAUGAAAAACUAAUUCGCUUACUGUAACACGAGAUUUCUCCUUCUCGUAUACAGCUUCAUUCGGUAAAGAUGCCUGGAAAAUGAAACCAAAACGAAAAAUGGAUCAUCAGAAACAGAACAAGCACUUCCAAAGAAAUCCGGAUGCUCAAAGAAUGUAAGAAAAGGAGAAUAAAUAAACAAGUUUAGAACCACCAAAAGUUCUUCCACUAUUCCGUCUUUUCCUGUAUUUUCUGAGCAUCCAAACAGGGAAAUGAGAAAGAAAGAACCAUGUAAUAGAUGGAACCGCCAUUGAAGACGCUACGAACGGGCUUGUCGACGGACGAUGAAAGCCUCCGAAGCGCCAUUGCCAUCGCCAUCUCUCUCUUCGUCACUCACUCUCCAACUCUCCCUUUGUUAUUCUCUGGUUUUGGGUGAGUUUUGGGUGGUUGAUGUUUUCGUUAUCUCACUCCCAACCUCAGAGGUGCAGAGACUUGGACGGAUGCCAACGGUAUGACUCACCACCACCAACUGCUUUCAAAUUUCAAUAGCCAUUCACGGUCCCACCAAAACUUCAGACUGAUUCUAUCAAGGUGGCUUGUGUAUAAAUUGCUCAGACCCAAAUUUAAUCGGAUAGUCAUAUCCUACGUAGCAGAUUCAAGCUCUGUUACCUCCCUUGGUUUGUGGACCGUUGAUGGCAACCGCCUUCCCUCUCCUCGCAUGUACCGAAUUCUCAUUUGGAUGUAGGUAAUAAAGAGUAAUUUGGAAACUUUGAGUGGGAAAAUUUUCAGAUAAAUUACGAAAUUUAAUCAAAACCUUCAAUAUUAUAAAUAAUAUUUUUAUAUUUGAGGGAUAAAUUACGAAA